UGAAUUUUCAGUACAAAACCCAACAGUCUCAUGCAAAACAGAUGAGUUGCUCACUGUAAGUCAUGCCCCCACCUAAGAGAUGUAACUUGGAAAAAAAACAAACAAACACAAUGUUUGAGAGUUGCAAGGUAAGUUUUAUUUGGCAGCAAAAUGAAGACAAUAUCCAAGGAGACAACAUUUCAGAUAGCUCUGAGAAACUGCUCCAAAGUAGUAGGGGGGAAAUCAGUAAAUACGUGAUUCUGGUGAAGGGGGAGUGCAUGCAAUCAAGCACAUAUGUUUUGCAGGCUUCUGCUAGUCACGAGGAACACUUGUCACCAUGAAGGAUUUUGGUGCUUUUCUAGACAAGAGGAGAUACAAGAAUCCGGCUCAUAAAAUCAGCACCUAAAAAUAUCUAACAAUCUGAAGACCUGUUCUGCCAGUUUUUCCCAGAGCGCAAAGUUCCUAAUUUCUGCUCUCCACCCUAAACUCCUUUCAAGGAGUAUUAAAAAUCAGCAGCUGCAGCAGCACAUGAUUUAAUCCUUGUAGAGCUAGAUCGCAAGUGCCGACGGCAAGUGCCCAUUUGUAUUUGAUGAAGGCCUGAUUCCACAGGGCCAGGGGCGGGGUUGGGGGGGGUGACUUCUAGAGCCAACCGUCCUCUUCAGACCAUGCUCUGGGUGCCUGGGCUUCAGAAUUCCCGCACCAGCUGCUUUCUGGGUCUAUCCCAGCUGCUGGCAUGUGAGAUGGCCAGAGGGCAUUUCUACAGGGCAUAUGUGAGGAGCUUGGCAGUAAAGCUGAAAAUGGCAAGGAGGUGUGAAGCAGAGGGAUCCAGGCCCUUCACUUGCACUCUUGUCUUGGAGCCUGGCACGUCAGCGCCAGGACGGCUUGCACCUGAGCCUUCAGGUGCCCUGGAUCUCCCUCCUGGCCUGCAGAAAGGACUUGAGAACUUGAGCUGCCAUUGCAGACACUCGCCGGCAGGUGGCAGCACAGGAGCAGAUUACAGGAGGUCCAGAGUUGCGUGAGUCUAUGAAGCUCUGGGAGCUCCAGUUCACAGGGUGCUUUCACACCUCUUGCCCUAGUUGGAACAGUCCUAUUUUGAAGAUGAAGAAAACAAGACUCAGAGGCAAAGAGGCUUCUUGCAAGACAGAAAGUCAGGACUAACACAAGCAGAGCUCCAGGGCCCUGGUCUGUGUUUCCCGUGGAAUUCUCAAGAACCUACCACCCCCACCCUCCCCGCCCCGCCCCUUCUCUUUAACCGUUAUCCACUCCAGCUGGUGCCUCAUCUCUUAGUUGUUUACAUCUGUAGUCUCCACCUCCUCACUGCCCGUUUACUCCAGAACUCACUGCAGAGGACUGGAUUUCUUUUUAUUCCUUGCUCAGCGCAUAGCAACAUUUCUCCUCCCUUGAGGACACCCCUGCUGUACUUUCUCGGGGAAGCCCCACCUCCUUCCCAGCAUGCACUGCGUUAGGUCCCGCCACAGGCACCUCAGUUUCUA
Bubalus bubalis (water buffalo) is the source of this 1472-nucleotide long non-coding RNA. RefSeq lists it as uncharacterized. Lineage: Eukaryota; Metazoa; Chordata; Mammalia; Artiodactyla; Bovidae. The transcript has 2 exons. The record is from RefSeq and is a predicted model, not a curated record.